AGCAGUAGCCGCGGUAAUACAGAGGGUGCGAGCGUUAAUCGGAUUUACUGGGCGUAAAGCGUGCGUAGGCGGCUAAUUGAGUCGGAUGUGAAAUCCCCGAGCUUAACUUGGGAAUUGCAUUCGAUACUGGUUAGCUAGAGUGUGGGAGAGGAUGGUAGAAUUCCAGGUGUAGCGGUGAAAUGCGUAGAGAUCUGGAGGAAUACCGGUGGCGAAGGCGGCCCCCUGGACAAAGACUGACGCUCAGGUGCGAAAGCGUGGGGAGCAAACAGGAUUAGAUACCCCAGUAGUCCCUGUCUCUUAUAC
This 303-nucleotide ribosomal RNA is filed under the name uncultured bacterium. RNAcentral describes it as "partial 16S ribosomal RNA". It matches the Rfam family "Bacterial small subunit ribosomal RNA", at positions 507 to 807 of the family's 1533-position model. The record is from RNAcentral.